GACGAACGCUGGCGGCGUGCUUAACACAUGCAAGUCGAACGGAAAGGCCCUGCUUUUGUGGGGUGCUCGAGUGGCGAACGGGUGAGUAACACGUGAGUAACCUGCCCUUGACUUUGGGAUAACUUCAGGAAACUGGGGCUAAUACCGGAUAGGAGCUCCUGCUGCAUGGUGGGGGUUGGAAAGUUUCGGCGGUUGGGGAUGGACUCGCGGCUUAUCAGCUUGUUGGUGGGGUAGUGGCUUACCAAGGCUUUGACGGGUAGCCGGCCUGAGAGGGUGACCGGCCACAUUGGGACUGAGAUACGGCCCAGACUCCUACGGGAGGCAGCAGUGGGGAAUAUUGCACAAUGGGCGGAAGCCUGGUGCAGCAACGCCGCGUGCGGGAUGACGGCCUUCGGGUUGUAAACCGCUUUCGCCUGUGACGAAGCGUGAGUGACGGUAAUGGGUAAAGAGGCACCGGCUAACUACGUG
This 468-nucleotide ribosomal RNA is filed under the name uncultured bacterium. RNAcentral's name for it is "partial 16S ribosomal RNA". It matches the Rfam family "Bacterial small subunit ribosomal RNA", at positions 28 to 507 of the family's 1533-position model. The record is from RNAcentral.